Molecule: ribosomal RNA, 257 nt
Filed under: uncultured bacterium
Lineage: Bacteria
Description: partial 16S ribosomal RNA
Rfam family: Bacterial small subunit ribosomal RNA
Source: RNAcentral
CCACGCCGUAAACGAUGAACACUAGGUGUGGGCGGAGUCGAAUCUGUCUGUGCCGCAGCCAACGCGAUAAGUGUUCCGCCUGGGGAGUACGGCCGCAAGGCUAAAACUCAAAAGAAUUGACGGGGGCCCGCACAAGCAGCGGAGCAUGUUCUUUAAUUCGAUGCAACGCGAAGAACCUUACCUGGACUUGACAUGGUGCUGCAAGCGCACGGAAACGUGUGACCUUCGAGGGUGCACCACAGAUGCUGCAUGGCUGU